Ochotona princeps (American pika) is the source of this 59-nucleotide non-coding RNA. The record is from Ensembl. Lineage: Eukaryota; Metazoa; Chordata; Mammalia; Lagomorpha; Ochotonidae.
GAGGAAGUAUGCAAGAACUGCUAACUCCUGCUACCAUAUAUAAUAAUAUGGCUUCCCCA